ACUCCUACGGGAGGCAGCAGUGAGGAAUAUUGGUCAAUGGGACGCAAGUCUGAACCAGCCAUGUCGCGUGCAGGAAGACUGCCCCUAUGGGUUGUAAACUGCUUUUUAUACGGGAAGAAAUAUAGCUACGUGUAGUUAUUUUGCCGGUACCGUAUGAAUAAGCAUCGGCUAACUCCGUGCCAGCAGCCGCGGUAAUACGGAGGAUGCGAGCGUUAUCCGGAUUCAUUGGGUUUUAAAGGGUGCGUAGGCGGAAGUAUAAGUCAGGGGUGAAAGUUUGUGGCUCAACCAUAAAAUUGCCUUUUGAUACUGUAUUUCUUGAGUACAUUUGAGGUAGGCGGAAUGUGUUGUGUAGCGGUGAAAUGCUUAGAUAUAACACAGAACACCGAUUGCGAAGGCAGC
Molecule: ribosomal RNA, 399 nt
Filed under: uncultured bacterium
Lineage: Bacteria
Description: bacterial SSU rRNA
Rfam family: Bacterial small subunit ribosomal RNA
Source: RNAcentral